RNAcentral lists this ribosomal RNA (379 nucleotides) under uncultured eukaryote. RNAcentral describes it as "partial 18S ribosomal RNA". It matches the Rfam family "Eukaryotic small subunit ribosomal RNA", at positions 592 to 976 of the family's 1831-position model. The record is from RNAcentral.
CAAUAGUGUAUAUUAUUGUUGCUGUAGUUAAAAAGCUCGUAGUUGGAUUUCGGAAUGCGUCUGUCAAAGCCCGUCCAAGUGGCGUGGCUCGACUGGACGCUUCCUGUCUUUGGGUAACGUCCGUCACUUCGGUGGCGGUUGCGUUCCUAAUUGUUUACUUUGAAAAAAUUAGCGCGUUCAAAGCAGGUUUAUUUGCCUUGAAUAGUUUAGCAUGGGAUAAUGAAAUAGGACUUUUGGCUUAUCUCGUUGGUUUCUAAGCUGACAGUAAUGAUUAAUAGGAUCGAUUGGGGUCGGUCGUAUUCAAUCGUCAGAGGUGAAAUUCUAUGAUUGAUUGAAGACGAACUGGUGCGAAAGCGUCCGACAAGGGCGUUUCCGUUAA